RNAcentral lists this ribosomal RNA (447 nucleotides) under Pedipes ovalis. Its description in RNAcentral is "partial 12S ribosomal RNA". The record is from RNAcentral. Lineage: Eukaryota; Metazoa; Mollusca; Gastropoda; Ellobiida; Ellobiidae.
UUAAACUAGGAUUAGAUACCCUAUUAUACUAUACAAAAAAAACUUCCUGAGGCACUAAAAUCAAAUUUUGAUUAAAACCUAAAAAGCUUGGCGGCAAAAUAAAUUUUUAGGGGAACUUACCAAGUAAUUGACAACCCACAAGGAAAUCUAACUUAACCUAAAAGUUUGCAUACAGCCGUCUCCAGAAAGACCUCAAAGGGUUUUACAGCUAAUAAAAAAAACAAAAAAAUAUUGUAAGUCAGGUCAAUGCGCAGCCUAUGGUUUAAGUUUUUCGGCGAGUUACAAUAUGUGUUUAAUAAAUUCUAGUAUUAUUUUUUAAAAAAGAAAUAGGAAAGAUGGACUUAAAAGUAAAAAAAAAUUAUUUAAAAAUAAAAGUUGAAAAAGAAAAACAUAUUUUUUUAGUGAAGGNANGAAAUAUAAAAUUAUUUUGUGCACACAUCGCCCGCC